RNAcentral lists this transfer RNA (104 nucleotides) under Klebsormidium nitens. It matches the Rfam family "tRNA". From Rfam's summary of the family: Transfer RNA (tRNA) molecules are approximately 80 nucleotides in length. Lineage: Eukaryota; Viridiplantae; Streptophyta; Klebsormidiophyceae; Klebsormidiales; Klebsormidiaceae. The record is from Rfam by way of RNAcentral.
GGUGAGAUGGCCGAGUGGUCUAAGGCGCUGGUUUUAGGACACGCAGCUCAGCGUGAAACGCACCAGUCCAGAAAUGGGCGUGGGUUCAAAUCCCACUCUCGCCA